This 1161-nucleotide ribosomal RNA is filed under the name Escherichia coli. Its description in RNAcentral is "partial 23S ribosomal RNA". It matches the Rfam family "Bacterial large subunit ribosomal RNA", at positions 1 to 1194 of the family's 2925-position model. The record is from RNAcentral. Lineage: Bacteria; Pseudomonadati; Pseudomonadota; Gammaproteobacteria; Enterobacterales; Enterobacteriaceae.
GGGUUGUGAGGUUAAGCGACUAAGCGUACACGGUGGAUGCCCUGGCAGUCAGAGGCGAUGAAGGACGUGCUAAUCUGCGAUAAGCGUCGGUAAGGUGAUAUGAACCGUUAUAACCGGCGAUUUCCGAAUGGGGAAACCCAGUGUGUUUCGACACACUAUCAUUAACCGAAUCCAUAGGUUAAUGAGGCGAACCGGGGGAACUGAAACAUCUAAGUACCCCGAGGAAAAGAAAUCAACCGAGAUUCCCCAAGUAGCGGCGAGCGAACGGGGAGCAGCCCAGAGCCUGAAUCAGUGUGUGUGUUAGUGGAAGCGUCUGGAAAGGCGCGCGAUACAGGGUGACAGCCCCGUACACAAAAAUGCACAUAUUGUGAGCUCGAUGAGUAGGGCGGGACACGUGGUAUCCUGUCUGAAUAUGGGGGGACCAUCCUCCAAGGCUAAAUACUCCUGACUGACCGAUAGUGAACCAGUACCGUGAGGGAAAGGCGAAAAGAACCCCGGCGAGGGGAGUGAAAAAGAACCUGAAACCGUGUACGUACAAGCAGUGGGAGCACGCUUAGGCGUGUGACUGCGUACCUUUUGUAUAAUGGGUCAGCGACUUAUAUUCUGUAGCAAGGUUAACCGAAUAGGGGAGCCGAAGGGAAACCGAGUCUUAACUGGGCGUUAAGUUGCAGGGUAUAGACCCGAAACCCGGUGAUCUAGCCAUGGGCAGGUUGAAGGUUGGGUAACACUAACUGGAGGACCGAACCGACUAAUGUUGAAAAAUUAGCGGAUGACUUGUGGCUGGGGGUGAAAGGCCAAUCAAACCGGGAGAUAGCUGGUUCUCCCCGAAAGCUAUUUAGGUAGCGCCUCGUGAAUUCAUCUCCGGGGGUAGAGCACUGUUUCGGCAAGGGGGUCAUCCCGACUUACCAACCCGAUGCAAACUGCGAAUACCGGAGAAUGUUAUCACGGGAGACACACGGCGGGUGCUAACGUCCGUCGUGAAGAGGGAAACAACCCAGACCGCCAGCUAAGGUCCCAAAGUCAUGGUUAAGUGGGAAACGAUGUGGGAAGGCCCAGACAGCCAGGAUGUUGGCUUAGAAGCAGCCAUCAUUUAAAGAAAGCGUAAUAGCUCACUGGUCGAGUCGGCCUGCGCGGAAGAUGUAACGGGGCUAAACCAUGCAC